Molecule: long non-coding RNA, 1056 nt
Organism: Oncorhynchus masou masou (cherry salmon)
Lineage: Eukaryota; Metazoa; Chordata; Actinopteri; Salmoniformes; Salmonidae
Exons: 3
Source: RefSeq, a predicted model, not a curated record
UCACACAGCCAAGCAGGGUCUCUGGUUUUUACACGGACAAGUGGUGGGGCUGAAAGUCAACAGUUCCCAGUUUAACUGAAAUUAUUUGUUAGUUUUACUGAAAUGCCUUGUCUUUUAAAAGGCAGUAUGGCUAGGACCAGGAACAAGAUGUAUUUUCCUUAGGUGGAAGUUCGGGUGUCUUGGUAUUUGUUCUGCCACUGUAGGAUAACCGUUAUCUCUGGGAUCUAUUAAAUACAGACCUCUUGCCUGUCACGUUUUGUUGUUGCUCCGCUGAGAUCUCAUUGAUGUGUCCCGGCAGCUGCUCUGUGCAAUUGUCUUGAAGUUAUACACCCCGGGAUCACAACAUGUGCAGUUGCCAGUACCCACCCUUCUGGGAGGGAAAGAGGAAUAUGGACAGAGGGACUGAUUCAGUUAGACAGCACUGUAGCUGUGACCAGAGUAAGAAUCAAUGGGACGGCGUUAAGAGAAAGAGCGGAGAGGAAAUGGGACUUUCAUGGAACAGUCCACAUGGAAUGGAAAGGAACACGUCUGAAAAGUGUGAGAAACCAGUUGGAUGACCAAGUGGCCAUUGUUAAGCACAGGGAUAUCUGAAGUACAUCCCUCCACACUACGCCCUUCCUUUGUGCCCUAAUAUACUUUGUCAUGAUAGUAAAACUUGAGAUCGCUAUCAUAUCUAGAAUUUAGUGCGGCUCAUGUCUAGCUCCCUCCAGUGUCUUCCUCUGUUCAGCUGAGUACUUCAAGGCACUCCUCUCUUAUCUGUUAAAGAAUACAUCAUUUUAUUUUACGGCUGUCCUUUGGACCUUUUUUAAAGGAAUGCUUGCAUGGGGAAGCAUAUACUUGUUUGGGAUGUCAUCACAUUAUCCUAUAGCCUAUAAUGGCCAACAACUGUCUUCCCCCACCAAACCAUGGAUUCUGUUUGUUUGUCUUCUUUCUGCUGCUCUGACACUGAAGGCUAAGUUUAAAGGAAUGUCUUCAAUGCUUGGGAGUCAAAUUGUUAGCCUAUUCUAUGUCAUAACCAACCACAAAUUCACAUAUUUCUCCCUGUGACGGCAAUAA